UGGGGAAUAUUGCACAAUGGGCGCAAGCCUGAUGCAGCCAUGCCGCGUGUAUGAAGAAGGCCUUCGGGUUGUAAAGUACUUUCAGCGGGGAGGAAGGGAGUAAAGUUAAUACCUUUGCUCAUUGACGUUACCCGCAGAAGAAGCACCGGCUAACUCCGUGCCAGCAGCCGCGGUAAUACGGAGGGUGCAAGCGUUAAUCGGAAUUACUGGGCGUAAAGCGCACGCAGGCGGUUUGUUAAGUCAGAUGUGAAAUCCUCGGGCUCAACCUGGGAACUGCAUCUGAUACUGGCAAGCUUGAGUCUCGUAGAGGGGGGUAGAAUUCCAGGUGUAGCGGUGAAAUGCGUAGAGAUCUGGAGGAAUACCGGUGGCGGAGGCGGCCCCCUGGACGAAGACUGACGCUCAGGUGCGAAAGCGUGGGGAGCAAACAGG
RNAcentral lists this ribosomal RNA (429 nucleotides) under Chloroflexota bacterium. RNAcentral's name for it is "Chloroflexi bacterium partial 16S ribosomal RNA". It matches the Rfam family "Bacterial small subunit ribosomal RNA", at positions 355 to 776 of the family's 1533-position model. Lineage: Bacteria; Bacillati; Chloroflexota. The record is from RNAcentral.